RNAcentral lists this long non-coding RNA (1398 nucleotides) under Marmota monax (woodchuck). The record is from RNAcentral. Lineage: Eukaryota; Metazoa; Chordata; Mammalia; Rodentia; Sciuridae.
AUUUAAAAGGAGCCAUUGAGGUAAUACCUGGUGUGAUAGAUUCAAAUUUUAAAGGACAAUUAAAUGUUACUAUAAGGUCCAACUAUGCCCUAAGGCUUACUCCAAAGAAUGCAUUUGCCCAAUUGAUUUUAUUGCCCUGUGAUUCGGAUAAACACCAGCAAGUAAAUUUAGUUUCUAAACCUCCAGACAGAGUGUACUGGUCUCAAUUAGUGCGACAAGAACGCCCUUUAUCAGAACUUAAAAUUAAUCAUAAAAACUUCAAAGGAAUUCUCGAUACAGGGGCGGAUAUUUCUGUCUUUUCUAGUAGAUUCUGGUGUAGGAAUUGGCCCUUACAUGUAGCACCAGCUAACCUAGAGGGAAUUGGACAAAUUUCACAGCCUGCUCAAAGUGCAAAUUAUCUCCAUUGGGAAGAUUCUGAUGGGAACAGUGGAGUUUUUAAACCUUAUGUGUUAGAGUCUUUACCAGCAAACCUAUGGGGAAGGGAUAUUUUAGCAAAAAUGGGAUUGUUAUUAAUAACUCCAAAUCCUAUAAGGUCAAUUGAGGAAGUUAAUCAGAGGUAUUUUCCUGGAGAUGAUAAGAAGACCUUUCAGGGAGAGUAUCUGUUUACAAACCAGUCUCCACGGCAAAGAUUAGUAAAUGCUCCAAGCCAAAAUUUUUACUAGGGGCCCUGAAUGUUUCCCCGAUCCUAAAGACAGCUGAAAAAAUCACCUGGCUCACAGAGGAGCCUAUAUGGAUUUCUCAGUGGCCCAUCUCAGGGGAAAAACUUAAAAUAAUUCAUAGGUUAGUUGAGGAACAACUUCAGGCUGGUCAUAUAGAACCAACACUGAGUCCUUGGAACACACCUAUUUUUGUUAUUAAGAAAAAGUCAGGAAAUUGGAGAUUGCUACAGGAUUUAAGGGCAAUAAAUCAUGCAAUUCAGCCUAUGGGAUCAUUACAGCCAGGACUUCCUUCCCCCACAGCCAUCCCUUUAAACUAUAGCUUGAUGGUAAUAGAUUUAAAAAAUUGUUUUUUCUCUAUAAGGUUACAUCCUGGAGAUUGUGAGAAAUUUGCCUUCACUGUCCCAGCAAUAAAUUUUAAUGAACCUGUUAAAAGAUAUUGCUGGAAAGUACUCCCCCAGGGAAUGCAUAAUAGUCCUACCUUAUGCCAAAAAUAUGUAGAUCAGGUGAUAGACCCCAUAAGAAAUAGCUUUCCUGAUGCGUAUAUUAUUCAUUUUAUGGAUGAUAUAUUAUUGGCUCAUGCUAAUCCAGAGGUACUUUCAGAAAUUUUUACUCAGAGGCUUCACUUACAGCAAUGGGUUUAUGCAUUGCUCCUCAAAAAAUUCAAAAGAUGCCUCCCUUUCAAUAUUUAGGUCAGAUAAUUCAAGGACGUAUAAUCCGUCCUCAAAAUCUUCAGAUAAGA